This 465-nucleotide ribosomal RNA is filed under the name uncultured bacterium. RNAcentral describes it as "partial 16S ribosomal RNA". It matches the Rfam family "Bacterial small subunit ribosomal RNA", at positions 339 to 795 of the family's 1533-position model. The record is from RNAcentral.
CUACGGGGGGCUGCAGUGAGGAAUCUUGCGCAAUGGGGGAAACCCUGACGCAGCGACGCCGCGUGGGUGAUGAAGGCCUUCGGGUCGUAAAGCCCUGUCGAGAGGGAAGAAUUGCAUUUAGGUUAAUAGCCUAAUUGUUUGACGGUACCUCCAAAGGAAGCACCGGCUAACUCCGUGCCAGCAGCCGCGGUAAUACGGAGGGUGCAAGCGUUGUUCGGAAUCACUGGGCGUAAAGGGCGUGUAGGCGGCUGAGUAAGUCAGGUGUGAAAUCCCUCGGCUCAACCGAGGAAGUGCAUUUGAUACUGCUUAUCUUGAGUACUGGAGAGGGGGGUGGAAUUCCCGGUGUAGAGGUGAAAUUCGUAGAUAUCGGGAGGAACACCAGUGGCGAAGGCGAUCUCCUGGACAGAUACUGACGCUAAGGCGCGAAAGCGUGGGGAGCAAACAGGAUUAGAUACCCUGGUAGUC